Molecule: small nuclear RNA, 24 nt
Filed under: Arabidopsis thaliana (thale cress)
Lineage: Eukaryota; Viridiplantae; Streptophyta; Magnoliopsida; Brassicales; Brassicaceae
Description: snRNA_12934
Source: RNAcentral
UUAAUUAAUUAAAAUAAUUAUGUC